This 177-nucleotide ribosomal RNA is filed under the name uncultured bacterium. Its description in RNAcentral is "partial 16S ribosomal RNA". It matches the Rfam family "Bacterial small subunit ribosomal RNA", at positions 1316 to 1500 of the family's 1533-position model. The record is from RNAcentral.
CUCCACGAAGUUGGAUUCGCUAGUAAUCGCGCAUCAGCCAUGGCGCGGUGAAUACGUUCCCGGGCCUUGUACACACCGCCCGUCAAGCCAUGGAAGCUGGGGGUGCCUGAAGUUCGUGACCGGAAGGAGCGACCUAGGGCAAAACCGGUGACUGGGGCUAAGUCGUAACAAGGUACC